This 455-nucleotide ribosomal RNA is filed under the name uncultured organism. RNAcentral describes it as "partial 16S ribosomal RNA". It matches the Rfam family "Bacterial small subunit ribosomal RNA", at positions 329 to 800 of the family's 1533-position model. The record is from RNAcentral.
ACGUACACUCCUACGGGAGGCAGCAGUGGGGAAUAUUGGACAAUGGGCGCAAGCCUGAUCCAGCCAUGCCGCGUGAGUGAUGAAGGCCCUAGGGUUGUAAAGCUCUUUCACCGGUGAAGAUAAUGACGGUAACCGGAGAAGAAGCCCCGGCUAACUUCGUGCCAGCAGCCGCGGUAAUACGAAGGGGGCUAGCGUUGUUCGGAUUUACUGGGCGUAAAGCGCACGUAGGCGGACUAUUAAGUCAGGGGUGAAAUCCCGGGGCUCAACCCCGGAACUGCCUUUGAUACUGGUAGUCUUGAGUUCGAGAGAGGUGAGUGGAAUUCCGAGUGUAGAGGUGAAAUUCGUAGAUAUUCGGAGGAACACCAGUGGCUAAGGCGGCUCACUGGCUCGAUACUGACGCUGAGGUGCGAAAGCGUGGGGAGCAAACAGGAUUAGAAACCCGGGUAGUCCCAUGA